RNAcentral lists this ribosomal RNA (261 nucleotides) under uncultured bacterium. Its description in RNAcentral is "partial 16S ribosomal RNA". It matches the Rfam family "Bacterial small subunit ribosomal RNA", at positions 524 to 778 of the family's 1533-position model. The record is from RNAcentral.
UACGAAGGGGGCUAGCGUUGCUCGGAAUCACUGGGCGUAAAGCGCACGUAGGCGGAUUGCUAAGUCAGGGGUGAAAUCCUGGAGCUCAACUCCAGAACUGCCCUUGAUACUGGCGGUCUCGAGUCCGGGAGAGGUGAGUGGAACUGCGAGUGUAGAGGUGAAAAUUCGUAGAUAUUCGCAAAGAACACCAGUGGCGAAGGCGGCUCACUGGCCCGGUACUGACGCUGAGGUGGCGAAAAGCGUCGGGGAGCAAAACAGGGA